GGGAAUUAUUGACAAUGGGGGAAACCCUGAUCAUGCAACGCCGCGUGGAUGAUGAAGUACCUCGGUACGUAAAACCCUUUCGACAGGGAAGAAACUCUUCGGAGCUGACGGUACCUGUAGAAGAAGCCACGGCUAACUCCGUGCCAGCAGCCACGGUAAUACGGGGGGGGCAAGCGUUGUUCGGAUUUACUGGGCGUAAAGGGCUCGUAGGCGGCCAACUAAGUCGGAUGUGAAAUCCCCAGGCUCAACCUGGGAACUGCAUCCGAUACUGGAUGGCUUGAAUCCGGGAGAGGGAUGCAGAAUUCCAGGUGUAGCGGUGAAAUGCGUAGAUAUCUGGAGGAAUACCGGUGGCGAAGGCGGCAUCCUGGACCGGCAUUGACGCUGAGGAGCGAAAGCCAGGGGAGCAAAC
RNAcentral lists this ribosomal RNA (409 nucleotides) under uncultured bacterium. Its description in RNAcentral is "bacterial SSU rRNA". It matches the Rfam family "Bacterial small subunit ribosomal RNA", at positions 357 to 773 of the family's 1533-position model. The record is from RNAcentral.